GCCGAAGUGGUGAAACUGGCAGACGCGCACGGUUCAGGGCCGUGUGGGCUUACGCCCGUGUGGGUUCGAAUCCCACCUUCGGCACAA
Molecule: transfer RNA, 87 nt
Filed under: bacterium
Lineage: Bacteria
Description: tRNA-Leu
Rfam family: tRNA
About the family: Transfer RNA (tRNA) molecules are approximately 80 nucleotides in length. Their secondary structure includes four short double-helical elements and three loops (D, anti-codon, and T loops).
Source: RNAcentral